UGCACCUCAGGUAUAUAUGAUAGAUCUAGUCUUGAUAAGUUAUACAUCCAUAAGGACCUCUCCAUCAUGACCUGUUGAAAAGUUAGUAAAUUAAUUGAAAUAUUGUCUACGAAUAUUUGUUAUUAAAAAUAAAAGAAGACCUAACAAUUAAAUCAAAUUGAAAAAGGAAUCAUGAAAAUGGUGAGAGGAGAGGCAACAUCUUAAACAAGAGGGCACAAAAAUGCUUAUCGCAUAAUUAAAUCAAAUUUACAUAAAAAAUAACAUCCUAAACAAUAUAAUUUAAAAAACUAAAAAGAAAACUUACCUUUCUUAGCCACCUCCACCUCCUUCCAAGAAAUGAAGAUCAAAACCUCCACCCUUGUAUUUUGACCUGUUGAAAAGUUUGUAAAUUAAUUGAAAUAUUGUCUACGAAUAUUUGUUAUCAAAAACAAAAGAACACCUAACAAUUAAAUCAAAUUGAAAAAGUAAAACAAGUAUCAAAAAUAAAGACAAAACCAUAAAUAUAUAUCUUUAUAUCACUAAAAUAAAUUUGACAAGGUACAAAAACACUGUUGAUUGAAACUAAAUAUAUUAUAUCACUAAAAAAUUUGAGAAGGAAAAAUGGAAAUGGUGAGAGGAGAGGCAACAUCUGAAGCAACCUCAUAUAUAAAAAAUGCUUAUCGCAUAAUUAAAUCAAAUUUACAUAAAAAAUAACAUCCUAAACCAUAUAAUUUAAAAAACUAAAAAGAAAACUUAUCUUUCUCUCCCAAGCAUGAAAACACCAUUCAUGGAAACUACUACAUAUAUAUUUCUUAGAUUCACAAAUUAGAGAAGUAAACAUAAAAAAGAAGAUAGGAGAGACAUCAUAUAUCCAUCUUAAGCAACUUUAUUGGAGCAAAAUAGACCAUACCUAGCUAUUCUACUCUCUCUCUCUCAUAGUGAAACGCUAGAUCCAAAAAGUAGCUCAAAUUGAGCAAGAGGGCACAAAAAGAGGCAUUAGAGGCAUCAACUAACCUUUCUUAGCCACCUCCUUCCAAGAAAUGAAGAUCAAAACCUCCCCCCUUGUAUUUUGAAAAAUCUGAACCUCCAAGAUGGGCUGCAAUGGAAGGUGGCUGCGAGCUACAGUUCUGCCCGAGGAGGAAGAAGGGACUGGUGGU
This 1136-nucleotide long non-coding RNA is filed under the name Sorghum bicolor (sorghum). RNAcentral's name for it is "long non-coding RNA (SBIC_LNC014851)". The record is from RNAcentral. Lineage: Eukaryota; Viridiplantae; Streptophyta; Magnoliopsida; Poales; Poaceae.